AAAUAAAUUUUUAUAGUUUAAAUAAUUUAUUUAUUAUUUAUUUUACAUAUAAAUUUUAGUAAUAAAUUUUUUAUUUAAAAAAUAAAUUAUUUUAAAAUUGUAGUAAUUUAUAUUAAAAAAUUAAGUAAUUAAGAUUUAGUAAUAUAAUAAUUUUGAUAACAAAUUUUGUGCCAGCAGUUGCGGUUAUACAAAAAUUAAAAUAAAUUUUUUUAGUAAUUAAUAAAUAUAUAAAAAUUUAAUUAAAAAUUUAAAUUAUUAGGUAAAAUUUUAAUUUAAUAAAAAAUUAUUUAAUAAAUAUGAUUUAAUAAAUUUUAUAAAAAACUAGGAUUAGAUACCCUAUUAUAAAAAUUUAAAUAAAUAAAUACUAAAAUAGUAAAUAAUUAUUUAUUGAAACUUAAAUAAUUUGGCGGUAUUUUAGUUCAUUUAGAGGAAUCUGUUUAAUAAUUGAUAAUCCACGAUUAAAUUUACUUAAUUUAAAAUUUUAUAUAUCGUUGUUAAAAAAAUAUUUUUUAAUAAAAAUAAUAUUUUAAAAUUUAAAUAAAAAAUUAAAUCAGAUCAAGAUGUAGGUUAUAAUUAAGAAUAUAAUGGAUUACAAUAAAAUAAUUUAAAUGAAUAUUAAUUUGUAAGAAUUAGUUGAAAGUGGAUUUAAAUGUAAUUUUAUUUAAUUAAAUAAAAUGAUUUAUAAUUAAAAUAUGUACAUAUUGCCCGUCGCUUUCAUAUAAUAAAUUGAAAUAAGUCGUAACAAAGUAGAGGUACUGGAAAGUGUUUCUAGAAAGAU
This 778-nucleotide non-coding RNA is filed under the name Clostera anachoreta. Lineage: Eukaryota; Metazoa; Arthropoda; Insecta; Lepidoptera; Notodontidae. The record is from RNAcentral.